RNAcentral lists this transfer RNA (73 nucleotides) under Felis catus (domestic cat). It matches the Rfam family "tRNA". From Rfam's summary of the family: Transfer RNA (tRNA) molecules are approximately 80 nucleotides in length. Their secondary structure includes four short double-helical elements and three loops (D, anti-codon, and T loops). The record is from Rfam by way of RNAcentral. Lineage: Eukaryota; Metazoa; Chordata; Mammalia; Carnivora; Felidae.
ACCUGGCUGGCUCAGUUGGUAGAGCAUGAAACUCUUGAUCUCAGGGUUGUGGGUUCAAGCCCCACACUGGCUG